Molecule: ribosomal RNA, 400 nt
Filed under: uncultured bacterium
Lineage: Bacteria
Description: bacterial SSU rRNA
Rfam family: Bacterial small subunit ribosomal RNA
Source: RNAcentral
GGGGAAUAUUGGACAAUGGGGGAAACCCUGAUCCAGCAAUGCCGCGUGAGUGAUGAAGGCCUUAGGGUCGUAAAGCUCUUUUACCAGGGAUGAUAAUGACAGUACCUGGAGAAUAAGCUCCGGCUAACUCCGUGCCAGCAGCCGCGGUAAUACGGAGGGAGCUAGCGUUGUUCGGAAUUACUGGGCGUAAAGCGCACGUAGGCGGUUAUUCAAGUCAGAGGUGAAAGCCCGGGGCUCAACCCCGGAACUGCCUUUGAAACUAGAUGACUGGAAUCUUGGAGAGGUCAGUGGAAUUCCGAGUGUAGAGGUGAAAUUCGUAGAUAUUCGGAAGAACACCAGUGGCGAAGGCGACUGACUGGACAAGUAUUGACGCUGAGGUGCGAAAGCGUGGGGAGCAAAC